This 384-nucleotide ribosomal RNA is filed under the name Triticum aestivum (bread wheat). RNAcentral's name for it is "partial small subunit ribosomal RNA". The record is from RNAcentral. Lineage: Eukaryota; Viridiplantae; Streptophyta; Magnoliopsida; Poales; Poaceae.
AUGCAUGUGAGAGGGACCGCGAGGAAAAAAAGGGCGUGUGGGCAUUACUUGUUUUGCCCACACGUAGGCGUGUGGGCUGAUCCUCUUAAACACCACAUAAAUUAUGUGGGCAGAUCCCUUAACGCCCACACGUGUGGGCGUUAUCGGCGUCCUUCUUUUUUCUUCGAAAACACUAACGCCCACACGUGUGGGUGUUUGCAUAUUGCCCACACGCGUGGAUCCGCGUCCGUUUGUGAGCGCAUGAAUCUUGUCAUCUUUUUAGUGCCACAUAGGACUGGGCUGGUGUGUGGGCAUUCACCCGGUCUCCCACACGGCCGUUUCAGCACACGGGAGGGGCCGGUGUGUGGGCGUUUAGCAGUUCGCCGACACGCCACUUUUCACUAA